AGCAGUUUAAAAAAAAAAAGGAGUUCAUAUGCAUGUAUUACUGCGGGUAUAAAAGGAGCUUGUCUCUAUUACUGCGUGCCAAUUACUGC
This is a long non-coding RNA of Cotesia glomerata, 89 nucleotides long. RefSeq lists it as uncharacterized. The transcript has 3 exons. The record is from RefSeq and is a predicted model, not a curated record. Lineage: Eukaryota; Metazoa; Arthropoda; Insecta; Hymenoptera; Braconidae.